AUUUUUACUUAGGUAAGAUCUUUAUUAGGGAACUAGGGAGGGAAAGCUGUGGGGUUUGGGGUUUAUUUGCUUGUGAUUAUUUAUUAGUAUCUUCCUGAGGAAACUUUCUUCUUUGCUCAUGGUUGACAACAGAGGGCAAAAAUGAAGGCAAAAUGUGGCCUAAUGCUGCCAGUUGGCCGAAAUUUUCAUUUGUGCAGAUUCUCUAGUUUUCUUCUUUUCCUAGUGUCCUCUAGCCCACUAGGUGACACUGUUUACUCAUCUAUGGUACUCCAUUUAGGACUUUCCACAAAUCAUAUUUAAAAGUAGAUGUUUUGUUUGGGGUGCUGGGGAGGGGGAAAGCGUGUUGAGAAGGAAAAUAUAAAUGAACCAGCAGUGGCUAAACUUUGAGGUACAAUUAGGGGCCAAUUGUCAUCUAUGGUUAUGUGACAUUAUGGGCUAGUUUCAAACUAUCUUUUAAGGAAUUUUAAGAGCAACAUGCAAUUAGUUUCCAAUUCUAUUCCAAGAAAUGAAGGAAAAUUGACUUCCCCUUCCCAAGCCGUCACCAAACCAAAGGAUAAAAUAAACUGUUGUAGCUUUGAAUGUAGAGUUGAGUAGAUGCUCUUGAAUGACUGUUUCCACCUCAUUCUUCAAUGAUAGUUAAUGAGGGCACAGACCACUAAUAAGCAGUGGAAGCAGCUUCUAGGCUAAGCUUAAAUUGGGCCUUCAAAUCUAAUCAAAAUUAGUCACUGCUGAGAAGAAACCAAAUGUGGUGUGUCCAUUUGGAUGUGGAGUUUGGAGAGGCCCUCCUUGUUUUCCAGGUUGUGAGCCACAGGAAGCGUGUCAACCAUGUCAAACCAGAAGAUCAAGAAAUCAAAGAUUCCAUUCGCUUGCCUUAGAGUUUGAGGAGCCCCGAACCUAUUUUACACAGAAUGUUUCUUGGAUAUAACGCUGCUAAUAACCCUAAUUGCAAGUCAGAUCUGUGAUGCUGUAGCACUCCACACCUUCCCAGUGGCUGCAAUUACACACAUCAAGUUUCAGAAUGAACGACGAGUCUACAGACCUGUGCCAAGGAGCCAAAGAGAAGAGAUCAGAAUAACCAAGAUGGAGUCUUGCUCUGUCACCCAGGCUGGAGUGCAGUGGCGCGAGCUCAGCUCACUGCAACUCCGUCUCCCAAGUUCAAGUGAUUCUCCUGCCUCAGCCUCCCGAGUAGCUGGGAUUACAUGCACCUGCCACCACACUCAGACGGAGUCUUGCUUUGUCAUCCAGGCUGGAGUAUAAUGAUGGAAUCUCGGCUCACUGCAACCUCUGCCUGCCUCCCAGGUUCAAGCAAUUACCAGGCCUCAGCCUCCUGAGUAGCUGACAGGUGCACACCGUGCCUGGCUAAUUUUUUUGUAUUUUUAGUAGAGAUGGGGUUUCACCAUGUUGACCAGGCUGGUCUUGAACUCCUGACCUCAAGUGAUCUGCCCACCUCGGCCUCCCAAAGUGCAGGGACUACAGGUGUGAGCCACUGUGCCUGGUCAUUAUUCUAAUCUUCAUUACCAUGCAUUUGUUUGCUUGCUAACUUUAUAUAAAUAAAAUCAUACAGUAUAUACUUUUGGAGUCUGGGUUUUCUCCUAAUAUAAUAUUCUUGACCCAAGUGUUAUUUAAUAACGUGUGUUUUAAUUUCUAGGUGAAAAGUCCUUUUUGGUUUUUGAUCUUGUUAAUUUUUGCAUUUUAGUCAAAGAAUAUUAUGUAUAUUAUUUCCUCUUCUUUUUUUAAAACAACCAAGUAAUCAAGUUUUAGUUAGUAUCAGCAGCAUGUUUGCCAUUUUCCAGUGCUUCUCAUCCCUUCAUGCAUUACCAUACUUCCAUCUGAAAUAAUUUCUAUUUUGCCAAAAGAACUUAAUUUGGUAUUUCUUUUAGUUUAGACUUGCUGACUAUGAAUUCUCUUAGGUUUUGUUUGUCUGAAAUCAUUUUUAUUUUACCUUCUUUCUAGAAGAUUAUU
This is a long non-coding RNA of Papio anubis (olive baboon), 1962 nucleotides long. Lineage: Eukaryota; Metazoa; Chordata; Mammalia; Primates; Cercopithecidae. The record is from Ensembl.